ACCCGACCUCACGCCAUUUCGAAC
RNAcentral lists this microRNA (24 nucleotides) under Ananas comosus (pineapple). RNAcentral describes it as "microRNA s0454_c58a". Lineage: Eukaryota; Viridiplantae; Streptophyta; Magnoliopsida; Poales; Bromeliaceae. The record is from RNAcentral.